CCUACGGGAGGCAGCAGUGGGGAAUCUUGCACAAUGGGCGAAAGCCUGAUGCAGCAACGCCGCGUGCGGGAAGAAGGCCCUAGGGUUGUAAACCGCUUUCAGUAGGGAAGAAAAUGACGGUACCUACAGAAGAAGGUGCGGCCAACUACGUGCCAGCAGCCGCGGUGACACGUAGGCACCAAGCGUUAUCCGGAUUUAUUGGGCGUAAAGAGCUCGUAGGCGGUUCGGUAAGUCGGGUGUGAAAACUCUGGACUCAACCCAGAGAGGCCACCCGAUACUGCUGUGACUAGAGUGCGGUAGGGGAGCGGGGAAUUCCUGGUGUAGCGGUGAAAUGCGCAGAUAUCAGGAGGAACACCAGCGGCGAAGGCGCCGCUCUGGGCCGUAACUGACGCUGAGGAGCGAAAGCAUGGGUAGCAAACAGGAUUAGAUACCCUGGUAGUCCAUGCCGUAAACGUUGGGCACUAGGUGUGGGUCUCAACCAACGAGAUCCGCGCCGUCGCUAACGCAUUAAGUGCCCCGCCUGGGGGAGGUACGGUCGCGAGAACGAAACUACAAANAGUAAGUUAGUACGCGUUGUAGACGUUGCCGAACGGACGACGACGAGGGAGGAGG
RNAcentral lists this ribosomal RNA (612 nucleotides) under uncultured bacterium. RNAcentral describes it as "bacterial SSU rRNA". The stretch from base 1 to 521 matches the Rfam family "Bacterial small subunit ribosomal RNA", at positions 338 to 873 of the family's 1533-position model. The record is from RNAcentral.